RNAcentral lists this ribosomal RNA (498 nucleotides) under uncultured bacterium. RNAcentral's name for it is "bacterial SSU rRNA". It matches the Rfam family "Bacterial small subunit ribosomal RNA", at positions 899 to 1397 of the family's 1533-position model. The record is from RNAcentral.
ACUCAAAGGAAUUGACGGGGGCCCGCACAAGCGGAGGAACAUGUGGUUUAAUUCGAUGAUACGCGAGGAACCUUACCCGGGCUCGAACGGCUAUGGAAUAUAUCAGAGAUGAUAUAGUCAGUAAUGACUGUAGUCGAGGUGCUGCAUGGUUGUCGUCAGCUCGUGCCGUGAGGUGUCGGCUUAAGUGCCAUAACGAGCGCAACCCUUGUCGUUAGUUGCCAGCGGGUAAAGCCGGGGACUCUAACGAGACUGCCACCGUAAGGUGUGAGGAAGGGGGGGAUGACGUCAAAUCAGCACGGCCCUUACGUCCGGGGCGACACACGUGUUACAAUGGAAGGAACAGAGGGAUGCUACUAUGUGAAUAGAUGCCAAGCUCUAAAGCCUUUCUCAGUUCGGAUUGGAGUCUGCAACCCGACUCCAUGAAGUUGGAUUCGCUAGUAAUCGCGCAUCAGCCAUGGCGCGGUGAAUACGUUCCCGGGCCUUGUACACACCGCCCGU